UUUGAAUUUUUUCAGUGUUCAAACAACAUUCUGCACCACAUAAACAACAGUUUUCAACAUAAAAUUAACAAUAGACCUCUUUCACGGUGCGGAUAGCAGGAUUCAUGUAGUCCGGCAACGGCGCAAUCCUCCAUUGUUUUUCCAACCCCACCCUGUUUUGCUGGGAUUUUAAUAGGGAAACAAGUUUAGCAUUAAAAAUUCUCCUCUCAGUGAAAUUUUCCUGUGUUUCAGUGCAUUGGAUAACUAGCACCAUCAUCUGGGGCUAUCCAAAUGUAAACAAGAAAAUUCAAAACAACACUAAAUGGUAAUAAAGUGAAACGCGUAUAUUUUCUACCCGAGUUUCUGAAAUUUUAGGGGGUUAUUUGGUGUUCCGUGCACCGCUACAUCCCAGUGGGAUGUAGCUUCCGGCCCUCUGAUUGGCUCUCUCCACGGCAUCCACAAUCCAAAAUUCAAAAUACCCUUAUUUUCUCUCUAUUUAAAAUUAAUUUUACCGGGAAUAGACUUUCAGCGGAUGCUAAGUUGCACCAUCUCACAAUUCAGCCCAAUCCCAUGUGGUGUUUUAGUCCCAUAAGGCCCUCUUGAGAAAAAGUGUUUUUUAAUCUUAGCAUUAUUAAUAGAGCACAUUUUUGCUUAAAUGUAAUUUUAAUAUGUAGCCUGAAUUUAUUACGAUUUUAUAAAAGAAACUAAAACAACCA
This is a long non-coding RNA of Daphnia magna, 695 nucleotides long. RefSeq lists it as uncharacterized. NCBI's taxonomy places the organism in Eukaryota, Metazoa, Arthropoda, Branchiopoda, Diplostraca, Daphniidae. The transcript is spliced from 2 exons. The record is from RefSeq and is a predicted model, not a curated record.